AACUGGUAACUUGGAGAAUGAGAACUAUUAAUUUAUCUAAUAAAUUAAUUUACCUAAUAAAUUGAUCUGAUCAAAUAAAGUUCUAAAUGUAUAUAUAUAUAAUGACAAUAUACAUAUUAUGCCUUGACUAAUUACGUGCCAGCAGUCGCGGUAAUACGUAAGAGGCUAGUGUUAUUCAUCUUAAAUAGGUUUAAAGGGUACUUAGACGGUAAAAUUCUCCCUAAAAAGGGAACGAAUUUACUAGAGUUUUAUGUAAAAAGAUAGUACUUGGGGUGAAAGAGUUAGAAUUCGAUGAUACCUUGGGGACUGAUUAGGGCGAAGGCAAUCUUUUAUGUAUAAACUGACGUUAAAGGACGAAGGCGUAGAUAGCGAAAGGGAUUAGAUACCCCAUUAGUCUACGCAGAAAAUGAUGAAUGCCAUAGACUAGGGAACUUUUCAUGAAUACAUGAAAUAAAACUUGGUUUAUAAAUGAAAGUGUAAGCAUUUCACCUCAAGAGUAAAGUGGCAACACCGAAACUGAAAUCACUAGGCCGUUUCUGACCCCAGCAGUGAAGUAUGUUAUUUAAUUCGAUGAUCCACGAAAAACCUUACCACAAUUUGAAUGUUAUUAAUUUAAUUUAUCUAAAGUUAGCUUAACCGAGAUAAGUUUUAAUAAUACAAGUGUUGCACGGCUGUUUUCAGUUAAUGUUGUGAAACUGCGGAUCCGUCCGUGAAAUUAGCGAGUACCCGGGCUUUAUUUAUAUAUUAAUCAAUAUAAAGCAUUUCCUAGUUCAACACAAUCGCUAGGAUAAAGGGGCUAAGACAAGUCAUCAUGGCCU
RNAcentral lists this ribosomal RNA (818 nucleotides) under Seynesia erumpens. RNAcentral describes it as "mitochondrial SSU rRNA". It matches the Rfam family "Bacterial small subunit ribosomal RNA", at positions 1 to 1201 of the family's 1533-position model. The record is from RNAcentral. Lineage: Eukaryota; Fungi; Ascomycota; Sordariomycetes; Xylariales; Cainiaceae.